GGUCAAGCAUUAAGAGCGCAGGGUGGAUGCCUUGGCACUGAGAGCCGAUGAAGGACGUGAUAAGCUGCGAAAAGCUUCGGGGAGGAGCAAAUAUCCAUUGAUCCGGAGAUAUCCGAAUGGGGAAACCCACUUGAGCAAACCUCAAGUAUCCAUACGCCAAUCCAUAACGUAUGGAAGGGAACCGGGGGAACUGAAACAUCUAAGUACCCCGAGGAGAAGAAAGAAACCUCGAUUUCCAAAGUAGCGGCGAGCGAAAUGGAAAGAGCCCAAACCGUGGUGCGUGCACCGCGGGGUUGUGGACUGCAUAAGGUACUCGAAUCAAUAGCCGAACAGUUUUGGGAAAUCUGAUCAGAGAGGGUGAAAAUCCCGUAGGCGAAAUUGAAGAGAGGCUGGCAGGAUCCAGAGUACCACGAGACACGGGAAACCUUGUGGGAAGCAGGAGGGACCACCCUCCAAGGCUAAAUACUCCUCAGUGACCGAUAGCGCAUAGUACUGUGAAGGAAAGGUGAAAAGGACCCCGGGAGGGGAGUGAAAGAGAACCUGAAACCCUGUGUUUACAAGCUGUGGAAGUGCCUUAUGUGCACAACCGCGUACUUUUUGUAGAACGGUCCGGCGAGUUACGUUUACUGGCAAGGUUAAGCACUGCAGGUGCGGAGCCGAAGGGAAACCAAGUCUUAAGAGGGCGUGAAGUCAGUAAGAGUAGACCCGAAACCGGGUGAUCUACCCAUGUCCAGGCUGAAGCUGCCGUAAGAGGUAGUGGAGGGCCGAACGCACAUCCGUUGAAAAGGGUGGCGAUGAGGUGUGGGUAGGGGAGAAAUUCCAAUCGAACCCGGAGAUAGCUGGUUCUCCUCGAAAUAGCUUUAGGGCUAGCCUCGAUGGAGUCUUACGGAGGUAGAGCACUGAAUUUCUAAGGGGGCGUCAAAGCUUACCAAGGGAUAUCAAACUCCGAAUGCCGUAAAGAUGCUCAUCGGGAGUCAGACUGCACGAGAUAAGUUGGGCAGUCAAAAGGGAAAGAGCCCAGACCUGCUGCUAAGGUCCCAAAGUACGUGUUAAGUGGAAAAGGAUGUGGGAUUUCGAAGACAACUAGGAUGUUGGCUCAGAAGCAGCCACACAUUCAAAGAGUGCGUAAUAGCUCACUAGUCGAGAGGUCCUGCGCCGAAAAUGUCCGGGGCUGAAACACGACACCGAAGCACAGGAUACCGCAAGGUAUGGUAGAGGAGCAUUGCUGGCGCAACGAAGCAGUACCGUAAGGAGCUGUGGAGUGCCAGGAAGAGAGAAUGCCGGAAUGAGUAGCGAGAGAGAGGUGGGAAUCCUCUCGGCCGAAUAUCCAAGGUUUCCAGGGUAAAGCUGAUCUGCCCUGGGUAAGUCGGGGCCUAAGGAGAGGCAGAAAUGCGUAUCCGAUGGACAGCAGGUUGAGAUUCCUGCACUAUCUUAAAACAGAACUGUGGGGACAUUUGUGGAGAGCACAGGCGCGGAACGGAAAGCCGCGUGCAAGCGAAGGAGGAGUCACAUAGGAAAAACCGUGUGGCAAUCCAGAGGCGUGAUGCGGACCGAACUAAAGUAGGGAAGUGUGUGAGCCAUGAAUCAAGAAAAGCCGCUAUUGUUUUUAAGAUACCCGUACCGUAAACCGACACAGGUGGAUGAGGAGAGAAUCCUAAGGCCGGCGGAAGAAGCAUUGUUAAGGAACUCGGCAAAAUGACCCCGUAACUUCGGGAGAAGGGGUGCCAACGAGAGUUGGCCGCAGAGAAUAGGCUCAAGCAACUGUUUAGCAAAAACACAGGUCUAUGCAAAACCGUAAGGUGAGGUAUAUGGGCUGACGCCUGCCCGGUGCUGGAAGGUUAAGAGGAGAGGUUAGCGCAAGCGAAGCUUUGAAUUUAAGCCCCAGUAAACGGCGGCCGUAACUAUAACGGUCCUAAGGUAGCGAAAUUCCUUGUCGGGUAAGUUCCGACCCGCACGAAAGGCGUAAUGAUUUGAGCGCUGUCUCGACAAUGCAUCCGGUGAAAUUGAAGUACCAGUGAAGAUGCUGGUUACCCGCGCCAGGACGGAAAGACCCCAUGGAGCUUUACUCCAGUUUGGUACUGGGGUCCGGCAGUGCAUGUACAGGAUAGGUGGGAGGCU
This 2118-nucleotide ribosomal RNA is filed under the name Blautia sp. RNAcentral's name for it is "partial 23S ribosomal RNA". It matches the Rfam family "Bacterial large subunit ribosomal RNA", at positions 1 to 2156 of the family's 2925-position model. Lineage: Bacteria; Bacillati; Bacillota; Clostridia; Lachnospirales; Lachnospiraceae. The record is from RNAcentral.